This 490-nucleotide ribosomal RNA is filed under the name Salmonella enterica. RNAcentral's name for it is "bacterial SSU rRNA". It matches the Rfam family "Bacterial small subunit ribosomal RNA", at positions 1 to 480 of the family's 1533-position model. Lineage: Bacteria; Pseudomonadati; Pseudomonadota; Gammaproteobacteria; Enterobacterales; Enterobacteriaceae. The record is from RNAcentral. RNAcentral also lists the same sequence under 1 other name.
AAAUUGAAGAGUUUGAUCAUGGCUCAGAUUGAACGCUGGCGGCAGGCCUAACACAUGCAAGUCGAACGGUAACAGGAAGCAGCUUGCUGUUUUGCUGACGAGUGGCGGACGGGUGAGUAAUGUCUGGGAAACUGCCUGAUGGAGGGGGAUAACUACUGGAAACGGUGGCUAAUACCGCAUAACGUCGCAAGACCAAAGAGGGGGACCUUCGGGCCUCUUGCCAUCAGAUGUGCCCAGAUGGGAUUAGCUUGUUGGUGAGGUAACGGCUCACCAAGGCGACGAUCCCUAGCUGGUCUGAGAGGAUGACCAGCCACACUGGAACUGAGACACGGUCCAGACUCCUACGGGAGGCAGCAGUGGGGAAUAUUGCACAAUGGGCGCAAGCCUGAUGCAGCCAUGCCGCGUGUAUGAAGAAGGCCUUCGGGUUGUAAAGUACUUUCAGCGGGGAGGAAGGUGUUGUGGUUAAUAACCGCAGCAAUUGACGUUACCC